Molecule: ribosomal RNA, 253 nt
Filed under: uncultured bacterium
Lineage: Bacteria
Description: partial 16S ribosomal RNA
Rfam family: Bacterial small subunit ribosomal RNA
Source: RNAcentral
UACGGAGGGAGCUAGCGUUGUUCGGAAUUACUGGGCGUAAAGUGCGCGUAGGCGGCUUUGUAAGUUAGAGGUGAAAGCCUGGAGCUCAACUUCAGAAUUGCCUUUAAGACUGCAUCGCUUGAAUCCGGGAGAGGUGAGUGGAAUUCCGAGUGUAGAGGUGAAAUUCGUAGAUAUUCGGAAGAACACCAGUGGCGAAGGCGGCUCACUGGACCGGCAUUGACGCUGAGGUGCGAAAGCGUGGGGAGCAAACAGG